This 41-nucleotide transfer RNA is filed under the name Riccardia corbieri. Its description in RNAcentral is "Aneura corbieri partial tRNA-His". Lineage: Eukaryota; Viridiplantae; Streptophyta; Jungermanniopsida; Metzgeriales; Aneuraceae. The record is from RNAcentral.
AAUAUGAGUAGGGCGGACGUAGCCAAGUGGAUUAAGGCAGU